UUAGCCACCUGGCUCUGAGAACUGAAUUCCAUAGGCUGUGAGCUCGAGCAAACGACCUAGGGACUCAGUUCUGGUGCCCGGCUGUGCUAU
Molecule: microRNA precursor, 90 nt
Filed under: Ailuropoda melanoleuca (giant panda)
Lineage: Eukaryota; Metazoa; Chordata; Mammalia; Carnivora; Ursidae
Description: mir-146 microRNA precursor family
Rfam family: mir-146 microRNA precursor family
Source: Rfam by way of RNAcentral